This is an RNA transcript of Puntigrus tetrazona (Sumatra barb), 1829 nucleotides long. RefSeq lists it as uncharacterized. The record is from RefSeq and is a predicted model, not a curated record. The transcript is spliced from 5 exons. Lineage: Eukaryota; Metazoa; Chordata; Actinopteri; Cypriniformes; Cyprinidae.
UGACUGAUAGGAUAAUAGCGCACGCUCAGAUGCGGAGAGUCACUAGAGAGUUUACUGCGUGAUCGGUACUGCAUCUAUUUGUUUAUUUUUCUAAUGGUGGCACAAAUGAAAUUCCUGUUUAUUGUGCUGUCGACAUUUGUACUUCACCGUGGUGUGUUUGGCGUUGAAGAAACUAGAGUACCAGUGAUGGAGGGAGAUUGCGUCACGCUACACACUGGUGUUAAAACGCACCGACAAGUCAGACUGAGAUGGUAUUAUAAUGACAUUCGGCUCGGUCAAGUCAAUGGAGAUGUAAGUAAGACCUGUACAGAUGUUCAUUGUAAGAGGAGAUUCAGAGGCAGACUGGAGCUGGACGAUCGGACUGGAUCUCUGACCAUCACGAGAAUAAUGACCGCAGACGAUGGAGUUUAUAAACUGAAAGUUUUAGGCAGCCACAGCAGUGAAACGAUCUUCAAUGUUACUGUUAACGACCAAAAGAAGCCAGAGUCAGUGAAGGAGAGCGAAUCAGUCACUUUUUACACUGGUGUUGCAAAUCCAGAUGCUUUGAUGACAUGGUGUUUCAAUGAUAUUUGCAUCGCUGAAAUAAAUGGACAUGCUGAUAAGACCUGUACGGAUGUUCAGUGUAAAGAUGGCGACGAGAGAUUCAGAGGCAGACUGAAGCUGGAUCAUCAGACUGGAUCUCUGAGCAUCACGGACACCAGAACCACAGACUCUGGAGUUUAUACACUACAGAUCAGCAGCAGAAGCAGUAUUAUUAGGAACUUCAGCAUUGCUGUCCUUUUUUUGACGUUAACACUGUUUAAAAUCAGUGGAGUUUGCGACGAUGCUUCACAGAAGAGAGCACUUUCUAAGUAGACAAGUUUGGAAAGCUCAUGAUCAGUGGAUGCAAGAUGCAGUUACAGUGAAGAACUCUAUUAUUAAUUACACUCUAUUAGACAUGCUGUAGAAUUAUGUUUGUUAUUAAUCGAACUGAUCACUGCCUCCUUCUGUUUAUUGCAAAUUCACAUGCAGACACUCGAACACCGGAUCUAAUUGUGCAUAAUAUAAAUCCAGCAUUCGUUGGAGGAUUCCUGCUGGCGCUGGCUCUGGCUCUGGCUCUGCCUAUGGCUGUUAUAUGCUGUUAUGUUUGUUUCUGUGACUACAAACCAGCAAAGCCUCAAAAGAUUAGUUCCGCUGUCAGUGGAGAAAAAAGCUAUUUAGAGGAUAUAAGCAAGAUUUCAAUGUGAGGUUUACGGUAUGAAAUACAGCAUAUAUUUCAAGAUAUGUUCGAUAUCAUCUCAAAUGCUCACGCUGCUCUGUAGCUGUAGUUCUUUUAUGAAUGUAUAAUAUUGAAGAAAUCUAAUGUUAAGAAACAGAAUCACCAAAGAAUAAAAUAAAAAAUAGUCACUACUACAGUGAUCAGUGUUUACUUUAGUUGGUCUCUUGAAUAUGUAGUAUUACAUACUUUGGUUUGGUUGCUAUGAUUGAGUUAUAACAACCAGACGAACAAAGACCAAAAGUUAACAUGUAGUGACCUGAAGAAACUAGUUAGGAUUUGUUGGUCGGUUAUGUCAACACUGUGAGCAACAUGAGAUUUGGCAUCCAAAAAAUAAUCAGAAAAAUGCAUUUACAAAACGUAUUGGUAAAAUUGAAAAACGUAGGCACACCAAGAAUCUCUGUGAGAACGGUGACCAUCAAGAAAAGCACGUUGGAGGCAAAACUCAUGACGGUGAAUGAGAGACAAGGAAGAAGAAAAAAUAUAUAUUCAACAACUUCGAUAGUGUUGCUGUCUUAUGUUAUGCAUGACAUAUUUACAAAAUAAAAAAUGUAAUUUUUUAUGUAAUUUUAAA